UUGACCUCGGAUCAGGUAGGGAUACCCGCUGAACUUAAGCAUAUCAAUAAGCGAGGAA
RNAcentral lists this ribosomal RNA (58 nucleotides) under Aspergillus tamarii. RNAcentral describes it as "partial 28S ribosomal RNA". Lineage: Eukaryota; Fungi; Ascomycota; Eurotiomycetes; Eurotiales; Aspergillaceae. RNAcentral also lists the same sequence under 1 other name. The record is from RNAcentral.